RNAcentral lists this small RNA (629 nucleotides) under Pongo abelii (Sumatran orangutan). RNAcentral describes it as "retained intron". The stretch from base 1 to 118 matches the Rfam family "Small nucleolar RNA SNORA63". The record is from RNAcentral. Lineage: Eukaryota; Metazoa; Chordata; Mammalia; Primates; Hominidae.
CUACAAUAUAGCUGUUAAGUGCUGUGUUGUCGUUCCCCCUGCUCAAAAUAAAGUUGUUUCUUAACUAUACCUGUCUGCUAGUCUCCUGUAGCAGCCAGGGACGCUUGGUCUCAUACAUGUUGAUUAAAAUUAAAUACUGACCUGACUGGUGAUUCUUGAAUUAAGGUUUAUUAAUUUGCAGCAUGGUGACAUGGACCAGAAGGAGAGAGAUGUUAUCAUGAGGGAAUUCCGGUCAGGGUCAAGUCGUGUUCUGAUCACUACUGACUUGUUGGCUCGCGGGAUUGAUGUGCAACAAGUGUCUUUGGUUAUAAAUUAUGAUCUACCUACCAAUCGUGAAAACUAUAUUCACAGGAGUCGAUAGCAGCAGUUGAUGACGAGAUGGCACUCAGAAACGGCGUUGACGUAAUUUAGGACGUGGAAUCAUAAGCGAAACAGCACACUGUUUGAAUAAAGAGCGAGUCGAAUUGGCAGAGGGGGUCGAUUUGGGAGGAAAGGUGUGGCUAUAAACUUUGUUACUGAAGAAGACAAGAGGAUUCUUCGUGACAUUGAGACUUUCUACAAUACUACAGUGGAGGAGAUGCCCAUGAAUGUGGCUGACCUUAUUUAAUUCCUGGGAUGAGAGUUUUGGA